AUCCGGAUAAUCAAGGCUGAGGUGUGAUGACGAGGCACUACGGUGCUGAAGUAACAAAUGCCCUGCUUCCAGGAAAAGCCUCUAAGCAUCAGGUAACAUCAAAUCGUACCCCAAACCGACACAGGUGGUCAGGUAGAGAAUACCAAGGCGCUUGAGAGAACUCGGGUGAAGGAACUAGGCAAAAUGGUGCCGUAACUUCGGGAGAAGGCACGCUGGUGUGUAGGUGAAGUCCCUGCGGAUGGAGCUGAGACCAGUCGAAGAUACCAGCUGGCUGCAACUGUUUAUUAAAAACACAGCACUGUGCAAACACGAAAGUGGACGUAUACGGUGUGACGCCUGCCCGGUGCCGGAAGGUUAAUUGAUGGGGUUAUCCGUAAGGAGAAGCUCUUGAUCGAAGCCCCGGUAAACGGCGGCCGUAACUAUAACGGUCCUAAGGUAGCGAAAUUCCUUGUCGGGUAAGUUCCGACCUGCACGAAUGGCGUAAUGAUGGCCAGGCUGUCUCCACCCGAGACUCAGUGAAAUUGAACUCGCUGUGAAGAUGCAGUGUACCCGCGGCAAGACGGAAAGACCCCGUGAACCUUUACUAUAGCUUGACACUGAACAUUGAGCCUUGAUGUGUAGGAUAGGUGGGAGGCUUUGAAGCGUGGACGCCAGUCUGCGUGGAGCCAACCUUGAAAUACCACCCUUUAAUGUUUGAUGUUCUAACGUUGGCCCCUUACCGGGGUUGCGGACAGUGUCUGGUGGGUAGUUUGACUGGGGCGGUCUCCUCCCAAAGCGUAACGGAGGAGCACGAAGGUUAGCUAAUCCUGGUCGGACAUCAGGAGGUUAGUGCAAUGGCAUAAGCUAGCUUGACUGCGAGCGUGACGGCGCGAGCAGGUGCGAAAGCAGGUCAUAGUGAUCCGGUGGUUCUGAAUGGAAGGGCCAUCGCUCAACGGAUAAAAGGUACUCCGGGGAUAACAGGCUGAUACCGCCCAAGAGUUCAUAUCGACGGCGGUGUUUGGCACCUCGAUGUCGGCUCAUCACAUCCUGGGGCUGAAGUAGGUCCCAAGGGUAUGGCUGUUCGCCAUUUAAAGUGGUACGCGAGCUGGGUUUAGAACGUCGUGAGACAGUUCGGUCCCUAUCUGCCGUGGGCGCUGGAGAAUUGAGGGGGGCUGCUCCUAGUACGAGAGGACCGGAGUGGACGCAUCACUGGUGUUCGGGUUGUCAUGCCAAUGGCACUGCCCGGUAGCUAAAUGCGGAAGAGAUAAGUGCUGAAAGCAUCUAAGCACGAAACUUGCCCCGAGAUGAGUUCUCCCUGAGACUUUAAGUCUCCUGAAGGAACGUUGAAGACGACGACGUUGAUAGGCCGGGUGUGUAAGCGCAGCGAUGCGUUGAGCUAACCGGUACUAAUGAACCGUGAGGCUUAACCUUACAACGCCGAAG
Molecule: ribosomal RNA, 1422 nt
Filed under: Klebsiella pneumoniae
Lineage: Bacteria; Pseudomonadati; Pseudomonadota; Gammaproteobacteria; Enterobacterales; Enterobacteriaceae
Description: partial 23S ribosomal RNA
Rfam family: Bacterial large subunit ribosomal RNA
Source: RNAcentral